UACGAAGGGUGCAAGCGUUACUCGGAAUUACUGGGCGUAAAGCGUGCGUAGGUGGUUUGUUAAGUCUGAUGUGAAAGCCCUGGGCUCAACCUGGGAACUGCAUUGGAAACUGGCUUACUAGAGUGCGGUAGAGGGGUGUGGAAUUCCCGGUGUAGCAGUGAAAUGCGUAGAUAUCGGGAGGAACAUCUGUGGCGAAGGCGACACCCUGGACCAGCACUGACACUGAGGCACGAAAGCGUGGGGAGCAAACGGG
Molecule: ribosomal RNA, 253 nt
Filed under: uncultured bacterium
Lineage: Bacteria
Description: partial 16S ribosomal RNA
Rfam family: Bacterial small subunit ribosomal RNA
Source: RNAcentral